Molecule: long non-coding RNA, 375 nt
Organism: Pipra filicauda (Wire-tailed manakin)
Lineage: Eukaryota; Metazoa; Chordata; Aves; Passeriformes; Pipridae
Exons: 3
Source: RefSeq, a predicted model, not a curated record
GCUUCUGUAGUCUCUCCUAACAGAUAUUUGCUCCAUUCUUACAGAUUCGUACCCCUACAGAGUUCAUUGCUCCAGUUCUCUGUGUGUUAACCAGGAAUACAAGUCCAUGUUUCAAAGGCAGAAAGCUCUAAAAUUUUCAAGAGCCUCUUGUCAGCUGGAAGACAUGGCUCAAAGGACACCAGAAAAAAAAUCAUCUCAGUGUUGCUACAGCUAAUGAAAUGAGCCUUAGUGAGCCACUGGCCUCUUAUCAAAACCUGAAAGGGCAGAAAACCUGACAGAUCUGACACAGUAAAGAAGAAAGAAAAAAAAAAAGGGAGAGAUGAUUCAGGAACCAACAAGUGAAGAAUAAAAAGAAUUAAGAAAAUUGAAUUCUGG